AUGAAUAUUUAUGCGGUUCUACCAACAUAUAAACGUCUGAAUGUUUCGCUAGUACUGGAAUAUAAAUUUGUUAAGGCUGGUCAGUUCAAUUAUCUAAACACGUUUCUUCUCGGCUUCUUGCCCAUAAUCUUAGUUACCUUGCUUCACUUAUCCUUUUCAAGUAGCUACCAUUGCUGUGCUUUUGAGCCUUUUUUGUUUAUGUUUAGUGUGAGGAGUUUGUCCCUUGCUGCAUCGGCGUCUUUUGUUUUCUGCUUUCCACACCGUUAUGGUUGCAAUCCUACUGUCAUAAAGCUUCUGUUGUGGGAUGUUGGAAACUAUGCCUUGAAAAAAACUUUGUUAGACUCUUUCCAAUGGAUGAAGUGUUAG
This 366-nucleotide ribosomal RNA is filed under the name Triticum aestivum (bread wheat). RNAcentral describes it as "partial small subunit ribosomal RNA". The record is from RNAcentral. Lineage: Eukaryota; Viridiplantae; Streptophyta; Magnoliopsida; Poales; Poaceae.